UACGAAGGGGGCUAGCGUUGCUCGGAAUCACUGGGCGUAAAGCGCAUGUAGGCGGCUUUUUAAGUCAGGGGUGAAAUCCUGGAGCUCAACUCCAGAACUGCCUUUGAUACUGAGAAGCUUGAGUCCGGGAGAGGUGAGUGGAACUGCGAGUGUAGAGGUGAAAUUCGUAGAUAUUCGCAAGAACACCAGUGGCGAAGGCGGCUCACUGGCCCGGUACUGACGCUGAGGUGCGAAAGCGUGGGGAGCAAACAGG
This 253-nucleotide ribosomal RNA is filed under the name uncultured bacterium. RNAcentral describes it as "partial 16S ribosomal RNA". It matches the Rfam family "Bacterial small subunit ribosomal RNA", at positions 524 to 776 of the family's 1533-position model. The record is from RNAcentral.